RNAcentral lists this long non-coding RNA (377 nucleotides) under Capsicum annuum. RNAcentral's name for it is "long non-coding RNA (CANN_LNC022381)". Lineage: Eukaryota; Viridiplantae; Streptophyta; Magnoliopsida; Solanales; Solanaceae. The record is from RNAcentral.
AUAUUCAUUGUUUGUGUUGUGUUUGAUGUUGGUUUCGGAUUAUGAGAUGUGAUUGGAAAAUCGAAGCAUGCACUAAUCAUGUGGCUUAAAAGGAAUUCGGGGCGCGAGUUAAAAAUUGUUAAAGUGAAUUAGGAUUAAUUUUGAUUUGUUGUUGUUUUUGAUUCGUCGUUAUUGUUACUUUCACGUCUAAUUAUCAAUUUCGUGAUAGUAUCAUGGUAAGUCAAGUGGGUAGGCAAUCGUAGGUUCGGGUAGGCAAAAUUUAGAAAUAAGUGUCUCGUUGGAUGUUUGCAUGUGGAGUCUGUGUUGAAUGUUUUUCUACUUUAUCGCCUGCGAUUCAAAUGUAUUCAUUUAGCUGGGGAAUGCCCCGAGGUCUUCUG